GCGGUUGCCAUAGGGGGGCUGAGCCCGCCCUAAAUGAAAUUCUUUCACCUCUUGCGUCACCCGGACGUCUUCCGGGCCGCGGAGCCCAGGCCGCUUCGCCCUCGCCCUCGUGUGGACACAGGACUCGAAGGCCGCUUUCACAACCGGAGGAAGCUGGGAGGUGGCCAGGGCUGGGCUCAGGCCCUGUGUGGGAGGGAGAUGGGGUACAGGAAGGGAAGCGACCCGAGCACCCCUGCCCUCCCAGCUUCUCCUCUCCCUCUUCCUCCUCCUCCUCGUUUGAGCUGGUGGUUGAACCCAGGGCCUCACGGGCCAAACUGCCAGCCCCAGACCGCAAGGACAGGCGCGAGUUCCAAGUCGAUUCCCAGAGCUGGGAGUGUCAGCCCUCCGUAAAAAUGAAGUCAGAAAACUCGAGGCAGUUGAAAGGACUUCAUGCAUGAUAUGGAGUUCUCAAGGGAAGAAAUCAUGGCACACACCUGUAAUCCCAACGCUCAGGAGGCUGAGGCAGGAGCAUUGCCACAAGUUCGAGGCCAGCCUGGGCUACAUAGCAAGACCCUGUCUCAAAAAAGAGAAAAAGUCAAGAGAAGAAAUAAAAGGACCCCCCAUAACUAACUCAUCAUAUAAUGAAUCCCUUUGGCCAAUUCCGGCAGAACUGAUAUGGAUCUCCCUACAUAGUCCAGGCUGGCCUUGAACUCAUUAUGUAGCCCAGACAGUCCUCAAACUCAUGGUGAAUCCUCCUGCCUCAGCCUUCUGAUUGUGGGAUCACAGGUAUGCACCACCAUGCCUGGCUGAGAGUCAUUUUUUUCACAUUAGGGAUGGAACCCAGUGCACUUUACCCUGAGCUAUAUCUCUGGUCCCUUUUUAAAAUGUUGAUAUUGAGACAG
Heterocephalus glaber (naked mole-rat) is the source of this 881-nucleotide long non-coding RNA. NCBI's taxonomy places the organism in Eukaryota, Metazoa, Chordata, Mammalia, Rodentia, Bathyergidae. The record is from Ensembl.